RNAcentral lists this ribosomal RNA (869 nucleotides) under uncultured bacterium. Its description in RNAcentral is "bacterial SSU rRNA". It matches the Rfam family "Bacterial small subunit ribosomal RNA", at positions 13 to 876 of the family's 1533-position model. The record is from RNAcentral.
UUGAUCAUGGCUCAGAUUGAACGCUGGCGGCAGGCUUAACACAUGCAAGUCGAGCGGAGAGAGGUAGCUUGCUACUGAUCUUAGCGGCGGACGGGUGAGUAAUACUUAGGAAUCUGGCUAUUAGUGGGGGACAACAUUUCGAAAGGGAUGCUAAUACCGCAUACGUCCUACGGGAGAAAGCAGGGGAUCUUCGGACCUUGCGCUAAUAGAUGAGCCUAAGUCGGAUUAGCUAGUUGGUGGGGUAAAGGCCUACCAAGGCGACGAUCUGUAGCGGGUCUGAGAGGAUGAUCCGCCACACUGGGACUGAGACACGGCCCAGACUCCUACGGGAGGCAGCAGUGGGGAAUAUUGGACAAUGGGGGGAACCCUGAUCCAGCCAUGCCGCGUGUGUGAAGAAGGCCUUAUGGUUGUAAAGCACUUUAAGCGAGGAGGAGGGUACUGGUAUUAAUACUACCAGGUACUGGACGUUACUCGCAGAAUAAGCACCGGCUAACUCUGUGCCAGCAGCCGCGGUAAUACAGAGGGUGCGAGCGUUAAUCGGAUUUACUGGGCGUAAAGCGUGCGUAGGCGGCUAAUUGAGUCGGAUGUGAAAUCCCCGAGCUUAACUUGGGAAUUGCAUUCGAUACUGGUUAGCUAGAGUGUGGGAGAGGAUGGUAGAAUUCCAGGUGUAGCGGUGAAAUGCGUAGAGAUCUGGAGGAAUACCGAUGGCGAAGGCAGCCAUCUGGCCUAACACUGACGCUGAGGUACGAAAGCAUGGGGAGCAAACAGGAUUAGAUACCCUGGUAGUCCAUGCCGUAAACGAUGUCUACUAGCCGUUGGUCUCUUUGAGGGAUUAGUGGCGCAGCUAACGCGAUAAGUAGACCGCCUGG